RNAcentral lists this ribosomal RNA (468 nucleotides) under uncultured bacterium. RNAcentral's name for it is "partial 16S ribosomal RNA". It matches the Rfam family "Bacterial small subunit ribosomal RNA", at positions 28 to 507 of the family's 1533-position model. The record is from RNAcentral.
GACGAACGCUGGCGGCGUGCUUAACACAUGCAAGUCGAACGGAAAGGCCCUGCUUUUGUGGGGUGCUCGAGUGGCGAACGGGUGAGUAACACGUGAGUAACCUGCCCUUGACUUUGGGAUAACUUCAGGAAACUGGGGCUAAUACCAGAUAGGAGCUCCUGCUGCAUGGUGGGGGUUGGAAAGUUUCGGCGGUUGGGGAUGGACUCGCGGCUUAUCAGCUUGUUGGUGGGGUAGUGGCUUACCAAGGCUUUGACGGGUAGCCGGCCUGAGAGGGUGACCGGCCACAUUGGGACUGAGAUACGGCCCAGACUCCUACGGGAGGCAGCAGUGGGGAAUAUUGCACAAUGGGCGGAAGCCUGAUGCAGCAACGCCGCGUGCGGGAUGACGGCCUUCGGGUUGUAAACCGCUUUCGCCUGUGACGAAGCGUGAGUGACGGUAAUGGGUCAAGAAGCACCGGCUAACUACGUG